GCUCAGGAUGAACGCUGGCGGCGUGCUUAACACAUGCAAGUCGAACGAAGCGCUUAAACGGAUUUCUUCGGAUUGAAGUUUUUGCGACUGAGUGGCGGACGGGUGAGUAACGCGUGGGUAACCUGCCUCGUACAGGGGGAUAACAGUUAGAAAUGACUGCUAAUACCGCAUAAGCGCACAGUGCUGCAUGGCACAGUGUGAAAAACUCCGGUGGUAUGAGAUGGACCCGCGUCUGAUUAGCUAGUUGGUGGGGUAACGGCCUACCAAGGCGACGAUCAGUAGCCGGCCUGAGAGGGUGAACGGCCACAUUGGGACUGAGACACGGCCCAAACUCCUACGGGAGGCAGCAGUA
RNAcentral lists this ribosomal RNA (352 nucleotides) under uncultured bacterium. Its description in RNAcentral is "bacterial SSU rRNA". It matches the Rfam family "Bacterial small subunit ribosomal RNA", at positions 22 to 356 of the family's 1533-position model. The record is from RNAcentral.